This 253-nucleotide ribosomal RNA is filed under the name uncultured bacterium. RNAcentral's name for it is "partial 16S ribosomal RNA". It matches the Rfam family "Bacterial small subunit ribosomal RNA", at positions 524 to 776 of the family's 1533-position model. The record is from RNAcentral.
UACGUAGGGGGCAAGCGUUGUCCGGAUUUAUUGGGCGUAAAGAGCGUGUAGGCGGCUAGGUAGGGGGGUUGUGAAAACUGGAGGCUCAACCUUCAGACGUCGACCCAAACCCCCUGGCUAGAGUCCGGAAGAGGAGAGUGGAAUUCCUGGUGUAGCGGUGAAAUGCGUAGAUAUCGGGAGGAACACCAGUGGCGAAGGCGGAUCUCUGGGCCGAUACUGACGCUGAGGAGCGAAAGCGUGGGGAGCGAACAGG